RNAcentral lists this ribosomal RNA (253 nucleotides) under uncultured bacterium. RNAcentral describes it as "partial 16S ribosomal RNA". It matches the Rfam family "Bacterial small subunit ribosomal RNA", at positions 524 to 776 of the family's 1533-position model. The record is from RNAcentral.
GACGAAGGGGGCUAGCGUUGUUCGGAAUUACUGGGCGUAAAGCGCGUGUAGGCGGUUUCCCAAGUCAGGUGUGAAAUCCUGGAGCUCAACUCCAGAACUGCCUUUGAUACUGAGGAUCUUGAGUUCGGGAGAGGUGAGUGGAACUGCGAGUGUAGAGGUGAAAUUCGUAGAUAUUCGCAAGAACACCAGUGGCGAAGGCGGCUCACUGGCCCGAUACUGACGCUGAGGCACGAAAGCGUGGGGAGCAAACAGG